ACAGAUUAUAUUUUCUUAAAGCUAAAGUUUCUCUAGCUGUCAGUUGAAAACAUUUUAGAAAUUGAAACAAUUACUAUUCCUCCCUUUACUCAAAGCUCCCAAAUUAUUAUCUCUACGAAUAUUUUAAUGACUAACCACCUUUUUCUUGCUCAGAAAACAAAGUCCUUAUUAAAUUUUAUUUUUACUAUAAAAAAUGAUUCACUUCAAAUGUGCAUAGGCCCAUCUUACUGUAAGUCAAUUGGUUUUAAAUAAACUCUCCCCUAACGAGGCUGUCCCAUCUCUACUGCUUGGUGCCUAGUCUUGAUUCAACUUUUGUCCAGCCCACAGCCCCUUACAAGACAUUCUUCUGUUAACAGACAGGAAGUUCCUUAUCUUCUAAAUUGUGUGACUCCAAAUUUAAUUACAUGCUUUAAGUAGAUAGAAAAUAUGCCUUGCUCAAAGAGAAAUUACUUGGGCUGGUACAAGAAAUUUCAGGGCCUGUGGCUUACAAGUCAGAUGGAAUGAUCUGACCUUCAACUCUGAAAAAAUGACGAGUUAAGAAGCUGAAGAAGAAAAGAUGAUGGGCAGAGGCCAAACCAAAGUGAUGAAAAGCAAAUUCCGAAGACCAAAAACCUCUGGAAAGAAGCAGCCUACCAUCAAGCAGUUACACUUGUUUCAAUGGUGACCCUUUCUCAUAAGGGAUUAGUAGCUGCUCAGGGUUCAUCACACAGGGAUCCAUAAGUCCAGUAUUUCAAGUAAAAUGAGAACUGCUUCAGCUCCUCCUCUUCCUUCACCCUGCAGUCAUAAUGAUCAUAAAAGGACCCACCUAAUUCCAGUCCUUCCAGUUGUGGGGUAAUCAUCUAAAUAUGCAGAUUACAGAAAAUUGAAGGGGGAUGCAAUAUA
Molecule: long non-coding RNA, 882 nt
Organism: Strigops habroptila (Kakapo)
Lineage: Eukaryota; Metazoa; Chordata; Aves; Psittaciformes; Psittacidae
Exons: 3
Source: RefSeq, a predicted model, not a curated record